GAUCAUGGCUCAGGAUGAACGCUAGCUACAGGCUUAACACAUGCAAGUCGAGGGGCGGCAUGGUCUUAGCUUGCUAAGGCCGAUGGCGACCGGCGCACGGGUGAGUAACACGUAUCCAACCUGCCGUCUACUCUUGGACAGCCUUCUGAAAGGAAGAUUAAUACAAGAUGGCAUCAUGAGUCCGCAUGUUCACAUGGUUAAAAGGUAUUCCCGUAGACGAUGGGAGUG
RNAcentral lists this ribosomal RNA (228 nucleotides) under uncultured bacterium. RNAcentral describes it as "partial 16S ribosomal RNA". It matches the Rfam family "Bacterial small subunit ribosomal RNA", at positions 15 to 233 of the family's 1533-position model. The record is from RNAcentral.